UCUAAUAUGGCAGAAAUAAUGCUUUGAUCUUAAAAAUCAAAUAUAAAGACUAUCUUUUUUUAGAA
This 65-nucleotide transfer RNA is filed under the name Limnocentropus hysbald. RNAcentral's name for it is "tRNA-Leu". Lineage: Eukaryota; Metazoa; Arthropoda; Insecta; Trichoptera; Limnocentropodidae. The record is from RNAcentral.